RNAcentral lists this ribosomal RNA (257 nucleotides) under uncultured bacterium. Its description in RNAcentral is "partial 16S ribosomal RNA". It matches the Rfam family "Bacterial small subunit ribosomal RNA", at positions 526 to 779 of the family's 1533-position model. The record is from RNAcentral.
CGAAGGGGCGUAGCGUUGUUCGGAAUUACUGGGGCGUAAAGGGCGCGUAGACGGCUUUUCUAAGUCAGGCGUGAAAUCCCCGGGCGUUAACCUGGGAACUGCGCUUGAGACUGGAAGGCUUGAGUUCGGGAGAGGUGAGUGGAAUUCCCAGUGUAGAGGUGAAAUUCGUAGAUAUUGGGAGAACACCAGCGGCGAAGGCGGCUCACUGGACCGAUACUGACGCUGAGGCGCGAAAGCGUGGGGGAGCAAACAGGAUU